This 694-nucleotide ribosomal RNA is filed under the name bacterium. Its description in RNAcentral is "bacterial SSU rRNA". It matches the Rfam family "Bacterial small subunit ribosomal RNA", at positions 76 to 756 of the family's 1533-position model. The record is from RNAcentral.
UGCCCUUGCUAUGACGUUAGCGGCGGACGGGUGAGUAACACGUGGGCAACCUGCCUGUAAGACUGGGAUAACUUCGGGAAACCGAAGCUAAUACCGGAUAGGAUCUUCUCCUUCAUGGGAGAUGAUUGAAAGAUGGUUUCGGCUAUCACUUACAGAUGGGCCCGCGGUGCAUUAGCUAGUUGGUGAGGUAACGGCUCACCAAGGCAACGAUGCAUAGCCGACCUGAGAGGGUGAUCGGCCACACUGGGACUGAGACACGGCCCAGACUCCUACGGGAGGCAGCAGUAGGGAAUCUUCCGCAAUGGACGAAAGUCUGACGGAGCAACGCCGCGUGAGUGAUGAAGGCUUUCGGGUCGUAAAACUCUGUUGUUAGGGAAGAACAAGUACAAGAGUAACUGCUUGUACCUUGACGGUACCUAACCAGAAAGCCACGGCUAACUACGUGCCAGCAGCCGCGGUAAUACGUAGGUGGCAAGCGUUAUCCGGAAUUAUUGGGCGUAAAGCGCGCGCAGGCGGUUUCUUAAGUCUGAUGUGAAAGCCCACGGCUCAACCGUGGAGGGUCAUUGGAAACUGGGGAACUUGAGUGCAGAAGAGAAAAGCGGAAUUCCACGUGUAGCGGUGAAAUGCGUAGAGAUGUGGAGGAACACCAGUGGCGAAGGCGGCUUUUUGGUCUGUAACUGACGCUGAGGCGCGA